GGUUCCGUGGUGUAGGGGUUAACAUGCCUGCCUGUCACGCAGAAGAUCGCGGGUUCAAAUCCCGUCGGGACCG
This 73-nucleotide transfer RNA is filed under the name Listeria monocytogenes. RNAcentral's name for it is "tRNA-Asp". It matches the Rfam family "tRNA". From Rfam's summary of the family: Transfer RNA (tRNA) molecules are approximately 80 nucleotides in length. Their secondary structure includes four short double-helical elements and three loops (D, anti-codon, and T loops). The record is from RNAcentral. Lineage: Bacteria; Bacillati; Bacillota; Bacilli; Caryophanales; Listeriaceae.